This 434-nucleotide ribosomal RNA is filed under the name uncultured Lachnospiraceae bacterium. RNAcentral's name for it is "partial 16S ribosomal RNA". It matches the Rfam family "Bacterial small subunit ribosomal RNA", at positions 341 to 792 of the family's 1533-position model. Lineage: Bacteria; Bacillati; Bacillota; Clostridia; Lachnospirales; Lachnospiraceae. The record is from RNAcentral.
ACGGGAGGCAGCAGUGGGGAAUAUUGCACAAUGGGGGAAACCCUGAUGCAGCGACGCCGCGUGAGCGAAGAAGUAUUUCGGUAUGUAAAGCUCUAUCAGCAGGGAAGAAAAUGACGGUACCUGACUAAGAAGCACCGGCUAAAUACGUGCCAGCAGCCGCGGUAAUACGUAUGGUGCAAGCGUUAUCCGGAUUUACUGGGUGUAAAGGGAGCGUAGACGGCGAGGCAAGUCUGAAGUGAAAUGCGGGGGCUCAACCCCUGAACUGCUUUGGAAACUGUUUUGCUAGAGUGCAGGAGAGGUAAGUGGAAUUCCUAGUGUAGCGGUGAAAUGCGUAGAUAUUAGGAGGAACACCGGCGGCGAAGGCGGCUUACUGGACUGUAACUGACGUUGAGGCUCGAAAGCGUGGGGAGCAAACAGGAUUAGAUACCCUGGUA